UCUGUUUUCCCCUGUUUUUCUCUGUUUUGUUUCUUGAAUAAUUUGCUCUGCUGAAUCCAUUGGAUGUGGCUGAGAUUUCUUUUGUAAAAGCUUUUCAAGAUUUGAAAGAUGUUUUUUUGUCAUCUCUGUUGUAGAAGUUGGUGGUGUUGCUACUGUUUUUAAUACAUUUACAGCAGUAGCUCUAGGUAUAGGGUUUAAUGGAGAUGAUCCAUUACAGUACUUGAAACUGGAUCGCCGUGCCUGAAAAAAAUGAACAUUAGUUGCCGCUGCCACCUGCAUGAUUUUUUUAGAGAGAGAAAGAGGAGAAAAGUUGUGUUAUUUUAGAAAGAGAGAAAGUCAAUGAGUUAAAAUCAGCUGGGGCGGAGGAGGAGGAGGAGGAGGCUACAGCUGUUG
RNAcentral lists this long non-coding RNA (393 nucleotides) under Nicotiana benthamiana. RNAcentral's name for it is "long non-coding RNA (NBEN_LNC029738)". Lineage: Eukaryota; Viridiplantae; Streptophyta; Magnoliopsida; Solanales; Solanaceae. The record is from RNAcentral.